Canis lupus familiaris (dog) is the source of this 4916-nucleotide long non-coding RNA. RefSeq lists it as uncharacterized. The transcript is spliced from 3 exons. The record is from RefSeq and is a predicted model, not a curated record. Lineage: Eukaryota; Metazoa; Chordata; Mammalia; Carnivora; Canidae.
UUUAUUUAGAUACUGCUGUUCCAGCUGUGCUUCUUCUAGACGCUUCAAGAAAAUUCAGAAUUUCUACUAGACCAUAAGCUUUCAGGAGAGUAGAAAAUCGAGAGAAAGUGACCAGCACUUUCCUCUGGGCUCUCCUGGUUUCCAUGUGGAAUUUGUAUUGGCUUCCCUGAGUGUGAAAGGAAGAUAUGGCUGACCAAGGGGCUCGCUUUCAAAGAAUGGUGGAACCAAUAAUAAGGAACAAUGUGUCUUUGCGGCCAUCUGCGUAACUCAGGGCAAGUUAUCCUUCCAACAAACCCACAGCUCCCUCCUCUGAGAGGGUAAGAGCCACAGGAACCCAUCUUUGGAGAUCUGAACUGACUGCUCAACGUGAGAACCGUGGACCAACAGAAGCUGGAAACCUAUUCCAAAUACACACUCUCUGCCUCGCCUGACUUCUACGUCAGAAUCUGAAUUUUAUCAGGCUACUCAGCUAACGGACACGUUGAUGUCGGAGCAGCACUGUUCUAGGGCAUUCUCACCCGAUUGUUCCGUUACCGCCCUGGGUUGGCUAAUUACUAUCAAGCUGUAGCGUUUGGCACGUGUGCAAAGAGGUUAAUAAGAUUCCACACGUCUCCCUGGCAUUGAGAUAACUUUCACACAUUUUUAGUAGUUGGGACGUGAAUGACUCAGAAGUACCUGUGUGACACCUGCCUUUCCUUGGCCUCUGUCCUCGCCCUUGCUGGCAGCUGGCAUGCCCCCCUCACCCCCACCCCCAUUCAGCAGCCGCUCUAGGCACUCCCUGCUCUUUCCCUCGUGUCAGUGGCUCCGUUCACCCGCCCCUACUACCUACCUAACUGAGCCUUCGCUCACCUGCUCAGUCACACUCGUCUACACGUUCCCGUUCCAAAGAGUAAAAUACAUGGUCACCUGUGAGAUGGCCCUAACAAAGAUGUUUAAGUGGAGUGAUCACACUUUGGGGUGGGUAGACAACAGUUACUUUUGUAGAGAAUUUAUUUCACUCACUGGCCAUUUCACCAGGUAACUGAGAUAACCCAUGACCUUGAAGACCCCUCGAUGCAAUGGCAGGAUGGCAGGUGUGGGAGAGGCGUCACGUGGAAAUCCCAUGCAGUGGCCUGAUGGGAUGAUACGUGCCUUUGGAAAGACAUGGGAGCAAAUAAGCAAGGACGGCUUUGGGAGAGCCAGGAAGGAUCUGGGGGAGGAGGUGAUAUCCUUCUGUGAUCCCCCAACCCCAUCCAAGUGAAGUUACUCCCCUAACAGAUAGAGCCCCCAGAGGUGCACACAACAGUCUUUAACUGUCAUCUUUCCUGGGAGGCCGAGUUGAGCGAUGGCACAAGAGCGGGUGCUUAACCCCUGUUUGUUGAAUGGAAGGGUAUGAUCUGAAUCUUGGAGAGUUGGGAGUUGGCCGUGACCAUGGGUGGCCAUCCUCCGGGGGCAGAGGAAGCCCAAGGCAAGGCGGAGAGGAUGGCACAGCUUGCUCUAACUAAUGUUAGCACACCUUUCCCCAGCUGGGUGGAUCCAGCCAGUGGAUCGCGGACACGUUGCCGUUCUGGAAGCUCCUUCUCAGAUCUGCCUUAGGCAGAGGUCACCCAGCUGAAAGCCUGUGGCUCGUAGGCGGUGACACACUGAAAGUUGAACUGCCAGCCACCAGCACGUCUCAGAAGGUGGCUCCCUCUUUUGAGAAAGUGCAGCGAGCGGGGCGAAGCCUGCCCGGGGCUCCCCUGGGCGCUGUACCCACGGCCGGCCUCUUCAAAGCAGGCUGUGACUGUGCUUCCCGGGAGCAGGCCACCAGGACCUAGAACUUCUAGAAGGGAAAGCGGAGCUGGAGGGCUGCCAGGACGAGAAGCUGUCUGCUGCACGACCAGGAAAAGAAAAGCUAGGCUUCUGUCUCCAGCGCCUCCUCACCCGUUUCUCGACAUCCUUUGGCGUUCGAGGAGGCUGCUGUUGCUUUGGGGGCAGUGACGUGCACAGUGACAUUUGUACUAGUACCUUCCCGAUGACGGCCUCCUGUUUACCCCAGCACAGCACGAAGUGGGGAACUGUUCCAGAGAACUUAAGAGCACAUGCGUGCGAAGGGCAGAGCACGGCCUGGCCUGGCAGGCGUGUCCUGGGGCUGCCGGCCACGGCCCUGUCGCCUGGCCCCCGGUCCCAGCACCCAGUGGCCCGAUCGCUGGGGCCCCGGGCAGGUCUGCUCGGACUGUCCAGGCACACAGGAGGCUCUCCCUGUUGGCGAGUACUUGUGCCAUCAGGAGCCACAAGCUGGAGGCCAGCAGGCCCGAGGCAAGCCCUGUAGUUGCAAGAUCCCGAAUUAUAGGUUUCAGGAGUGAGGGUAGUGCCACCCCCGGGCAGUGCCACCCUGCCUCAGGCCUCCUGGGGCUUGGUCGGGCAUGAACUUCAAGUCACCAGGGAGGAAUCACAGCUGCCGGGCCAGGUCAGUGGGGUCAUUGCCUCAACACACCCCUGCAGGAGGAUGUGAAAAGAACAUUCGAGGUGCAGGACUCUGUGCGCCGAGCCCAGGGACCUCACAUAACCGUGUGCCUCAGUCCCAAACCGAUUCCAUCCAAACUUCUAGUGAAAGUGGUUCCACGCCUGUGGCAAGGUCAACUGCCCGCAGAGUCUGAUGGGACCGGUGGGUAGAGGCACCAAGGAGGGGAGCAAGAACUUUCUCGCUUGUUCUUUACCCGGAGCAUCAGCUGCAUUCUCCUGCUUCUCUUCAGGACGCCUGAGUGGUCAUGUCGUUCAGAUAUUUGGGGGGGGGGGGGGCAUGGCUCCAAAGACCCAGUCCUUGACCCCGGGUUGCUGAGCGUUGAAGAGCUCCCUUUGACAGAAACUGUGUGAUGUGCUCCUGGACGUGUUUACACAUUCGAGGUCUCCCUGGAAAGACACCAGCCAUCCGGGGUGGGGGGGCUGGGUGCCCGGGAUCCACGCUGUGCCCCUUGGAUGCCUGUGGAGCAGAGAGCGCUACCAAGGCCCUCACCGGUGGACUCGGGACCCCGGGUCCGGUGCCUCCCCCCGCCCCGGGGACACCUGUCCUCACCCCUUCGCCGGAGACCUGGAACGGCGCUGCCUCUGAAGGUGCAGACAGCCCGGGGUGGCAAAUUCGCUUCCUUCUACAUCUGGGACUCACAUCACCAGCUUUCUGUGGGAUCUCGGGUGCAAUCUUUCCUGGGUUGGUCUAAAUAUAAUCUUCAGUAGGCAGGAGAGGAAUGCUUAGAAAGUACCCAACUUGCUGGUGUCAAGGGGAGGCAGAUCUGACUUCUAUACCGUCUAAUUCAGUUCUAUCCCCCUCGUGUUUGUUCACUCAGCCACCAUCGUCCUAAUUCUCACCUGCAGGCCGCCGAAAAUAAUUAAUCUCUGGGUCUGCGGUAGCGCCCCCCACCCCUUGGUAAUCCUGCCAACACAUUCCUGGAAGAAGCCUAUUUCACUAGCCUCCAGUGGAGGAUGGUGAGGCUCGGAACAGACCUCAGUAUGAAAGAAAAGUCCGCAUUCUAGGGAGGGUUUUCAUGAGAGGGGCUGCUUUUCCUCAUUUGCACAAAAGCCCCCCGAAUGGGAUAAUAGUGUCUCUGGGAGAGGAACUCUGGCCCGUGCUCUGCAGAUAUUAUUCCUUGCCUCUGAGCAUGGGGUUUGGGGAAGAGAAAGCCCAAAUCCCAGCCCCUUUUUAAUUGUUAAAAUAUUAUAACAAACAUACUAAACAGUUUUGAACAAAGGAAGGACACGGUUAUCCUUGCACAUUCUGUGCGUCCCGUCCAUGUGUAACUUAUGUGUUCCCUUGGAAUAUAUUCACAAUUUUUAUGCUACCUUUUUUUUUUUUACUAUUAUACUAUAAGCACCUCACGUUCCCUGUGGGUUUCUGAGUUUCACAAUUAUAAUUUUAAUGCUACAUGAUUUUCACUGAUGUCAGGAGUGACAAUAACUGCUGGAAGUUAGCACUGCUUGUGGUGUUUUGCCUUCGUAGAUAACCUCUCCCUAGGCCUCGGUGGGUCUGUAGCUUAUUCUUCCUUGGUAUUUGAAUAAAUUCCCAUGAGCGGGGCAAAGCUUUAACAAUCUCACAGCCCUUGAUACGUGUCACCAUAUUGAUUUCUUAAAGGAUGCUAAAGUUUUGUAUCUUAUGGAUGAAUAAUGUGCGAGCCAAGGCAGGGAUGAUAGUCAAAAUUUAUCAACUCGUUGGAGCAUUGGUACUGACUUAAACUGAGGCCAGCUGGUCAGCCUGCCAAGGUGCUCUGCCCGAAUAUUGGCCCUACUUGGAUGGCAGACUCAGUGCCUUCAGGGCACACUUCUCAUCCGUUGUCUUCUCUGUCUGCCUUUCAUUCUCUCUUUCUUUUCCUCUAGUCCCUCUUUUUUGAACUAUUUUUGAGCAACGUGGUAGUCAUAAAGCAAUAGCUGAUACCUCAUCCACUAAUGACUCUGUCUUCACAGGUUGGAGCCCAAUUGACUCUUGGAACGACCCUAUCAGGUAGUUUGGUCCCAUUUUGUGGACAUGAUCACUAAGGCUUGGCUGGUUAAAUUUCUUGCCCAGGCACACAGAGGUGAAACAGGACAGAACUGAGAUUCAAACCCAGUCUGGCUGGCUGGCUCCACAGCUCUCAACCAGGAGGCUGCCCAACCCGUAGGGUGUUGGGAGGCUGGGUGGGAGAGCCAAAGAGAGAAAUUGAAAUCCUGGAGGGACUGAAAAUGGGUUGUUUCAGUUUCCCUUUUGCUCUUUUUGUUUCCUGCAUUAUUAAACUAUUUGAUUAGAUUCUCCUGGUGUCAUAUUUAUUUGCAGCUGUUAAACAUUAGAAGACUUCAGACGGGGGAUUUAUUUAAAGCAUAGUUAUUAAAAUGUCUAUUUUGAUUUAAGGAUUUCUUCUGCUUUGUAUUACUUACUUGUCUCAUAUCUCUUUAAUCUAUAGUCAUUUCUAAUAAAGAAUGUUCAGAACCUA